GUCCAGUGUGGACAAAGCCUGAGACGAGAAUUCGCCUUGCUGUCUAGGCCAAGGAAGGAUGAGCAGCUAGCUUAAAACACCUAUCACUUUCCUGUAUGUUUCAAAGGUGUGAGGAUUAAAGGAAUUGUCAGAUUAUUACAAUAAAAAAGAAGGGGAUUUAAAAUUGCAUUUUCUUUUCCCAUUACUGCUGCUUACUUUUUGCAUUGCACGGCUGUGUACGCAUGGCCCUGCCCUAGAGUCCAUGGCCCUGCCCUAGAGCCUGGCCCCAGAGUCCAUGGCCCUACGGUCACACACGAGCCCCUGGACUUUGGUACCGCUGGUGCUAUGCAGGCCCGUUGAGUUAGGCGGGACAUUACUUGGCUGAGUUCCCCUCCCCCUCCAGUGUAUCAGCAGCGCCUGGCCAUGCGCGGUCUCCCAUCCACGGGUGGAGCGAAACGGACCCCGCUUAGCUUGAGGGACCUGACGGAGGGGCGAGGGCGGGGCUGGCACGUGGCCGCUUCUCCCGGCCGCGCUGUUUUUGACCCGCCUCCGCUGUCACGUGAUGCAUCCGCGUGGGCCGUUGGGAAGGGGUCUGAGAGGCGGGGCCUUGGGCGCUCCUUCGUCCAAUAAUAAUCCGCGGAGACCGGAAGUGGCGGUGGAAAAUGGCGGGUGGUGCUAAGCGGCCGCGGGGCCUGCAGGAGAAAGAGAAAAAGGUUGACUGGCGUAAAUGGAAACAAGAAAAUGGUUAUUCUCCAUUUCAGAAAAAGAAGAGAAGAAAAAAUGGAAGGAAAUAAAGCUAUUGAGAAAACUGGAAAAGAAAAGAAUGCAGGAGGUGAUGGAAAAACAAAAAGAAGAAGAAAAGGCAAAGGAAGACAAAGGUAACAGCCUUGAGUUGAUGGGAAGGGCUGUGUGUGAGGGCCAGAAGAAUCUAAUGUGUGAGGGGCAGAUUUUAGUUGCUUGAGAUGCAUCUCACCUGUAUAGGCAGAAAAGGAUAUCUUAUCACUUAACUUUCAUAGAUCUGGUAUAAUCACAUACCAGUUCAAAUACAUAGGUAGACACUAAUUCAGUACAGUCAGUGGUGUAUGUGAGACCACUCAAUAGACAACCUGCUGUCUUAAGACAUCUCCUAAGCGUCCUCAAGUGUACAGAGUGCAAUUGUGCUCCACCUCUAAGAAGUGGCCACUAAAGAGAGCAGCAAAAGUCUGUUGCUAAACAUAGGUUUCAUUGUACUCAGUCGCAGAAUCCCAUAAUCCCUCCUUAUUGUAGCCUCCCUCCAUUCUUGUGCCAAAAAUAAGGAGACGUGUGUAUUGGACAAUACAAAAUGAUGAAGCAUUUAGUACUCAUGUAGGAAGAAUGCAGUAGUCCCUGUUCUUUUUAAACUAGCUAACCUGUUGCACAAUCCUCUAUAAAAUUCCUGUGUGUCCAUUGAUCAAUUCUCUAGAGUCUAGUCAAUACUUCAGACUUGGGGCCCUCUCCUACUCACUUUAAAGCCAGUGGCAAAAGUCAGAUUGACUUCUGUGGGAAGAGGAGUGGGGCCCUUACUCUGUAAAAGGCACUAUAUUGGAGUGCUUUGGAAUCUUAUCAUUUGUAGUGUGGAAGCCUUAGUACAAAUUGGGGCCCCUUUGUACCAGGUGCCGUGAAAACACAGGACAGUCCUUGCCCGAAGAGCUUACAAUUAAAAUGAGAGAACCAAAAGCUAAUGCUGUCCCUUUAGCAACACAAAUGGGAGUAGAACUGCCAAGCUCUGGCUCUUCUGUCUGAUCCCACUCUUGUUUUCUAGGACGUCAUUACACAGUUAGCGUAGCUCUGCCAGGCUCCAUCUUGAAUAAUGCACAGUCUCCAGAGUUGCGGACAUACCUUGCUGGGCAAAUUGCCAGGGCCUGUGCCAUCUUCUGUGUGGAUGAGAUUGUGGUGUUUGAUGAGCAAGGAGAAGAUUCAAGGUGAGGGUGACACAUUGUCUUCCCCGAAUAACCUGUCCCUCAGUGUUUCCAGUUUCUGUGUAUCUUGUCUCAAAUGAAGGCCAGCAGGAAACAGAGCUGCAGCUUCUCCCUGUCAAAUACUUUGUUUGAUGAGAUCUCCCUAAUUACUUUUUUCCGUGUGUGUGGGCCCACCGGGGGCAGCCGUGGCUAUUCCCCAAACAGCAAGAUUAAUGACUGAAAUAAAAUAAUAGGUUGGAUGGUUCUAGAAGGUUGUUAAUAACCAUUUUGCACUGAGCCCACAGAAGUAGCAACCAAAAGCCAUCACCUGGUGACUAUUCAGUGGCCUGUGAGAUGAAUUGGUGGUGUCUGGUUGCUAGCGGACAGGUGUCCAGAUUGCAUUUGCUUAAACAAUGUGCAUCAUUGUUUAGUGUCAGCAAAAAAGCCAAAGGACUAGAUGAACAGUUCCGGUCUAUGGGAAGGUGGCUCUGGAGACUGACACUUGCCAUCUUUCAGAAGUACUAAAUCCGUUCAAAUUUAGGUUCUUUGGGACUACUAGACCAUACAGACUAAGUGACAAGGCAUAAGUAGCUCAGCGCCCGGUUUAUAGUUAAAAUCUGUGAUAAAGGUAAAAAUGCACACUGUUGAAGCAAAUUUGGACGCUAUAUGUAAACCAAGAAAUAGCUUGGUUCCAUAGGACACUUAAGUCCCAUAAGAGCAAGUAGGUUUCACGUAAACGCUGAAGUGCGUGGAUCUCACCAGCAUGCAACGAACACACACUAGAUUUAUAGGAAGCUAAAGAAGAGCUCUGCAAGCUUAAAGCUUGUCUCUCACCAACAGAAGUUGGUCCAAUAAAAGAUAUUACCUCACUCUCCUUGUCUCUCUAAUAUCCUGGGACGGACACAACUACAGCAACACUGCAUACAGGUUUACAGGAAGAAAUUUUGUAGUGCUGAGAAAAGGUGCUGUCUUGACAGCCCUGGAAACUAACAAUCUCUGUUUAUCCUUCACACAGACUAGGUAGCAGAAUGUCAUGCUUUUCCACAGUCCCUCCUCCCUAACUCGGAGGGUCCAGCUGUAAUCAUGCUUCAUGGACCAUCCAGUCAUUGGUCUAGAUUAUUAACAAGGAUGUCAGUUCUGGUGGUUGUGUGACCAACGACCAUCCAGUCGGUACUGGUCUGAUAUCACUUACUACUUUCACAGGCCAUCUAGUAUCUGAUGGCUGCUUUAUAAUGUAAGAUCUUUUCUGACCUGGGUCAGACUUGAAUUGCCAACAAGGGUGAGGGACUCUAUAUCCUGAACCACUUUUUUAAAGUCCUGUUUCUAGUUGUAUACAUUUUAAUUAAAAAGGAAUGGGAUGUGGCCUCAUGUAGAUCUACUCACUCUAGGGGCUGUGUAAAUGUCUUGGAAGAUCACAGA
Molecule: long non-coding RNA, 3314 nt
Organism: Terrapene triunguis (Three-toed box turtle)
Lineage: Eukaryota; Metazoa; Chordata; Testudines; Emydidae
Source: Ensembl